GGAAGUGUAACUUAAUGGUACAGUGCUUGCCUUGCCUGCAUGAAGCCCUGAGUUCAAUCCCCAGCAGUACUU
RNAcentral lists this transfer RNA (72 nucleotides) under Ictidomys tridecemlineatus (thirteen-lined ground squirrel). Its description in RNAcentral is "Spermophilus tridecemlineatus (thirteen-lined ground squirrel) tRNA". It matches the Rfam family "tRNA". Rfam says of the family: Transfer RNA (tRNA) molecules are approximately 80 nucleotides in length. Their secondary structure includes four short double-helical elements and three loops (D, anti-codon, and T loops). The record is from Rfam by way of RNAcentral. RNAcentral also lists the same sequence under 1 other name. Lineage: Eukaryota; Metazoa; Chordata; Mammalia; Rodentia; Sciuridae.